GCGCCAUGGCGGCGUGCUAAUACAUGCAAGUCGAACGAACUCUGGUAUUGAUUGGUGCUUGCAUCAUGAUUUACAUUUGAGUGAGUGGCGAACUGGUGAGUAACACGUGGGAAACCUGCCCAGAAGCGGGGGAUAACACCUGGAAACAGAUGCUAAUACCGCAUAACAACUUGGACCGCAUGGUCCGAGUUUGAAAGAUGGCUUCGGCUAUCACUUUUGGAUGGUCCCGCGGCGUAUUAGCUAGAUGGUGGGGUAACGGCUCACCAUGGCAAUGAUACGUAGCCGACCUGAGAGGGUAAUCGGCCACAUUGGGACUGAGACACGGCCCAAACUCCUACGGGAGGCAGCAGUAGGGAAUCUUCCACAAUGGACGAAAGUCUGAUGGAGCAACGCCGCGUGAGUGAAGAAGGGUUUCGGCUCGUAAAACUCUGUUGUUAAAGAAGAACAUAUCUGAGAGUAACUGUUCAGGUAUUGACGGUAUUUAACCAGAAAGCCACGGCUAACUACGUGCCAGCAGCCGCGGUAAUACGUAGGUGGCAAGCGUUGUCCGGAUUUAUUGGGCGUAAAGCGAGCGCAGGCGGUUUUUUAAGUCUGAUGUGAAAGCCUUCGGCUCAACCGAAGAAGUGCAUCGGAAACUGGGAAACUUGAGUGCAGAAGAGGACAGUGGAACUCCAUGUGUAGCGGUGAAAUGCGUAGAUAUAUGGAAGAACACCAGUGGCGAAGGCGGCUGUCUGGUCUGUAACUGACGCUGAGGCUCGAAAGUAUGGGUAGCAAACAGGAUUAGAUACCCUGGUAGUCCAUACCGUAAACGAUGAAUGCUAAGUGUUGGAGGGUUUCCGCCCUUCAGUGCUGCAGCUAACGCAUUAAGCAUUCCGCCUGGGGAGUACGGCCGCAAGGCUGAAACUCAAAGGAAUUGACGGGGGCCCGCACAAGCGGUGGAGCAUGUGGUUUAAUUCGAAGCUACGCGAAGAACCUUACCAGGUCUUGACAUACUAUGCAAAUCUAAGAGAUUAGACGUUCCCUUCGGGGACAUGGAUACAGGUGGUGCAUGGUUGUCGUCAGCUCGUGUCGUGAGAUGUUGGGUUAAGUCCCGCAACGAGCGCAACCCUUAUUAUCAGUUGCCAGCAUUAAGUUGGGCACUCUGGUGAGACUGCCGGUGACAAACCGGAGGAAGGUGGGGAUGACGUCAAAUCAUCAUGCCCCUUAUGACCUGGGCUACACACGUGCUACAAUGGAUGGUACAACGAGUUGCGAACUCGCGAGAGUAAGCUAAUCUCUUAAAGCCAUUCUCAGUUCGGAUUGUAGGCUGCAACUCGCCUACAUGAAGUCGGAAUCGCUAGUAAUCGCGGAUCAGCAUGCCGCGGUGAAUACGUUCCCGGGCCUUGUACACACCGCCCGUCACACCAUGAGAGUUUGUAACACCCAAAGUCGGUGGGGUAACCUUUUAGGAACCAGCCGCCUAAGUGGACAGAAAAUUGA
This 1479-nucleotide ribosomal RNA is filed under the name Lactiplantibacillus plantarum. RNAcentral describes it as "bacterial SSU rRNA". It matches the Rfam family "Bacterial small subunit ribosomal RNA". The record is from RNAcentral. Lineage: Bacteria; Bacillati; Bacillota; Bacilli; Lactobacillales; Lactobacillaceae.